AGCAGCCGCGGUAAUUCCAGCUCCAAUAGCGUAUAUUAAAGUUGUUGCAGUUAAAAAGCUCGUAGUUGAAUUUCGGGGUCAGCAAGUUGGUCGUGCCACUGGUAUGCACUGGCUUUGCUGAUUCCUCCUUCUUGUAGAACCGUAAUGCCAUUUAGUUGGUGUUGCGGGGAAACAGGACUGUUACUUUGAAAAAAUUAGAGUGUUUAAAGCAGGCUAACGCCUGAAUACAUUAGCAUGGAAUAAUGAAAUAGGACGAGCGAUCCUAUUUUGUUGGUUUCUAGGAUUGACGUAAUGAUUAAUAGGGAUAGUUGGGGGCAUUAGUAUUCAAUUGUCAGAGGUGAAAUUCUUGGAUUUAUUGAAGACUGACUACUGCGAAAGCAUUUGCCAAGGAUGUUUUCAUUAAUCAAGAACGAAAGUUAGGGGAUCGAAAGACGAAUCAGAUACCGUCGUAGUCUUAAACCGUAAACUAUGCGACUAGGGAUCGGAUGAUGUUAAUUUUUUAAUGUACUCAUUCGGCGUA
Molecule: ribosomal RNA, 520 nt
Filed under: uncultured Glomus
Lineage: Eukaryota; Fungi; Glomeromycota; Glomeromycetes; Glomerales; Glomeraceae
Description: SSU rRNA
Rfam family: Eukaryotic small subunit ribosomal RNA
Source: RNAcentral